CCCCUAAUGACGCUGCGGCAUGCCUUACACAUGCAAGUCGAACGGCAGCACGGGGGCAACCCUGGUGGCGAGUGGCGAACGGGUGAGUAAUACAUCGGAACGUGUCCUGUAGUGGGGGAUAGCCCGGCGAAAGCCGGAUUAAUACCGCAUACGCUCUACGGAGGAAAGGGGGGGAUCUUAGGACCUCCCGCUACAGGGGCGGCCGAUGGCAGAUUAGCUAGUUGGUGGGGUAAAGGCCUACCAAGGCGACGAUCUGUAGCUGGUCUGAGAGGACGACCAGCCACACUGGGACUGAGACACGGCCCAGACUCCUACGGGAGGCAGCAGUGGGGAAUUUUGGACAAUGGGGGAAACCCUGAUCCAGCAAUGCCGCGUGUGUGAAGAAGGCCUUCGGGUUGUAAAGCACUUUUGUCCGGAAAGAAAACCUCUGGGUUAAUACCCCGGGGGGAUGACGGUACCGGAAGAAUAAGCACCGGCUAACUACGUGCCAGCAGCCGCGGUAAUACGUAGGGUGCAAGCGUUAAUCGGAAUUACUGGGCGUAAAGCGUGCGCAGGCGGUCCGCUAAGACAGAUGUGAAAUCCCCGGGCUUAACCUGGGAACUGCAUUUGUGACUGGCGGGCUAGAGUAUGGCAGAGGGGGGUAGAAUUCCACGUGUAGCAGUGAAAUGCGUAGAGAUGUGGAGGAAUACCGAUGGCGAAGGCAGCCCCCUGGGCCAAUACUGACGCUCAUGCACGAAAGCGUGGGGAGCAAACAGGAUUAGAUACCCUGGUAGUCCACGCCCUAAACGAUGUCAACUAGUUGUCGGGUCUUCAUUGACUUGGUAACGUAGCUAACGCGUGAAGUGAC
This 847-nucleotide ribosomal RNA is filed under the name Paraburkholderia sp. Its description in RNAcentral is "bacterial SSU rRNA". It matches the Rfam family "Bacterial small subunit ribosomal RNA", at positions 23 to 869 of the family's 1533-position model. Lineage: Bacteria; Pseudomonadati; Pseudomonadota; Betaproteobacteria; Burkholderiales; Burkholderiaceae. The record is from RNAcentral.